GGACGGGUGAGUAACACGUGGAUAACCUACCUAUAAGACUGGGAUAACUUCGGGAAACCGGAGCUAAUACCGGAUAAUAUAUUGAACCGCAUGGUUCAAUAGUGAAAGACGGUUUUGCUGUCACUUAUAGAUGGAUCCGCGCCGCAUUAGCUAGUUGGUAAGGUGACGGCUUACCAAGGCGACGAUGCGUAGCCGACCUGAGAGGGUGGUCGGCCACACUGGAACUGAGACACGGUCCAG
RNAcentral lists this ribosomal RNA (240 nucleotides) under uncultured Staphylococcus sp. RNAcentral describes it as "partial 16S ribosomal RNA". It matches the Rfam family "Bacterial small subunit ribosomal RNA", at positions 100 to 334 of the family's 1533-position model. The record is from RNAcentral. Lineage: Bacteria; Bacillati; Bacillota; Bacilli; Caryophanales; Staphylococcaceae.